Molecule: long non-coding RNA, 1352 nt
Filed under: Mus spicilegus (steppe mouse)
Lineage: Eukaryota; Metazoa; Chordata; Mammalia; Rodentia; Muridae
Description: lncRNA (ENSMSIG00000005325.1)
Source: RNAcentral
AAAAUAAGACUGUACAACAUGGGCAAGGUGACCAUUUGGAGAGGACUUGGAGUCCACGCUUCUCAGGAUGUAUGCAGUCUGAGGAAUGUCACUUCACUUCCCCUUCAUGAACCUCAGUUUCUUGAUCUAUGAACUGGAGACAGUAACAUUCCCUCUGCUUCCUUGACUGCAUUGUUAAAAGAACCCAAAGAGGGGACAUUUGUGAACAACAAAAACUGUAACGAGUGCCAUAGAAGGACACCUGAACGUCAUGCUCAGUCAGCUGCUCUGGAAAUUGCUACUAAGAGCAGACAUCGAAUGAGAGCAAUUAGAAAGCAGUGGGGGAGGAGUGGGGGGGGGUUAAAAUAGAUGAAUGAGCUCACAGCCACACAGAGAGGCUCUUCUGCGGGGAGAAUGCCAAGGGCUGGAGAGAAAAACGUGGGCAAAACCAGAAGGUGAGCGGUGGCUCCAGGAAGUCUGUUUAUUCCUACAGAGGCUUGGGGCUGGGGUGACAACUCACGAUGUGGCACUUUCUGAGUCAAUCCAUACUAACAGUCACAUGCUCAAUCCAGAGCCAGAUGCAAGCACAACAAAGCCAAGGUCGGGCUGAACAUAGAAAUGAGAGAGAAGAGGCUGCAGGUGGGUGGACCAGCACGAUGGAGCUGCGUCAGAGGACCUUGCUGCUGACUAAUCUUGUCAAAGCAUCUUUUUCUGAAUUGCAUAAAUGCCAUCUACACAGGCUGAAGAACAUUGGAGACGAAAACUUUAAAGUCGGCUGCACACGGGACACACUAUAAAUAGUGUUCUGAAGAGGAGCAGGGUGUUCCGGGUCAUGGCUCUCUGGAAGUUCUCUAGGAUUUCAUGGUUGAGCCACACAGACAUGCAAGAAGUCAUUCAUUGGUUUAAGCUGAAUUAAUGGCCAGUGGGUUCCCCACCACCACCCUCAUUCAACGAGGGCUGCCUUUGUAGUGUAGAUGAUAGAAAAAUGUAUGCAGAUUUUCCGGCAAAAUUAUUUUUCUACUUGUAUACCCCUUCACUAGUAGUAGGUAUUUCAUUGGAGGAAAGCAGUCAAGAAUGGUUGCAAAGAGCUUUAUGGGAAGAGUUACAUCCCAGCCAACAACAAGACUUUAGUGACAGCGGUGUGCUAGGUGGUUAUGGGCUGUACCCUAUCACAGUUUUCUGAUGGGGGGGGAUGGAUAUUGUGAUAUUGUGAGGCUCUACUGCAUCCCCAUCCCAUCCCAAUACUCACAGAUAGGGAAAGCUCUUGGUGCAGCCUCGAGUGCCAGGGAAGAGACAGUGCCCAAACUCAGCUGCCCACAGCUACCCACUCACUGGAGUUGGUGUAUAAAUAAAUGCCUUGACCCUUCAGUGCA